GGGAGAGCUAGGCUGGCGCGCUAGCCCUGCGUUGUUACCGUGAACGAGCUUUACACGGAGCCGAAGCCCAAAGAAGGGUCGUUAGAGUUGUUGUGGUCCUUUGCCGCUUCGUAGACGACUUGUCCUGUGGGAUGGACUUGGGCAGAACCAGGUCAGAUCCGGAAGGAAGCAGCCUUCACCUUCAAUCUCCAUGUUCAGAGGGUCACAAGCUCGAGAAACUAUGAGGGUUAAACCAGUGAAGCUUGGCGGGUUCAACUGCGGGCGUGCCCC
Molecule: signal recognition particle RNA, 270 nt
Filed under: Candidatus Woesearchaeota archaeon
Lineage: Archaea; Nanobdellati; Candidatus Woesearchaeota
Description: signal recognition particle sRNA
Rfam family: Archaeal signal recognition particle RNA
Source: RNAcentral